GGGGGUGUAGCUCAGUGGGAGAGCGCAUGCUUAGCAAGUGUGAGGACCUGGGUUCUACCCUCAUCCCUG
This 69-nucleotide transfer RNA is filed under the name Ictidomys tridecemlineatus (thirteen-lined ground squirrel). RNAcentral describes it as "Spermophilus tridecemlineatus (thirteen-lined ground squirrel) tRNA". It matches the Rfam family "tRNA". Rfam says of the family: Transfer RNA (tRNA) molecules are approximately 80 nucleotides in length. Lineage: Eukaryota; Metazoa; Chordata; Mammalia; Rodentia; Sciuridae. The record is from Rfam by way of RNAcentral.